CAGUAGCCGCGGUAAUACGUAGGUGGCAAGCGUUGUCCGGAAUUAUCGGGCGUAAAGGGCUCGCAGGCGGUUUCUUAAGUCUGAUGUGAAAGCCCCCGGCUCAACCGGGGAGGGUCAUUGGAAACUGGGAAACUUGAGUGCAGAAGAGGAGAGUGGAAUUCCACGUGUAGCGGUGAAAUGCGUAGAGAUGUGGAGGAACACCAGUGGCGAAGGCGACUCUCUGGUCUGUAACUGACGCUGAGGAGCGAAAGCGUGGGGAGCGAACAGGAUUAGAUACCCCAGUAGUCCCUGUCUCUUAUAC
This 301-nucleotide ribosomal RNA is filed under the name uncultured bacterium. RNAcentral's name for it is "partial 16S ribosomal RNA". It matches the Rfam family "Bacterial small subunit ribosomal RNA", at positions 509 to 807 of the family's 1533-position model. The record is from RNAcentral.